AAAACAUCAAUGUAAUUAUGGUGCUAUUAAUGUGUUCAUAUCUUCCAGGUAUACAAGUCUGUAAGGUAGAAGCUUCAAAAGAACAUUAUAUCAAGCUGGUAUUCUAAAGUUGUAUGGUAAUUUUAGGCUUAAAAAAAACAUGUUGGAGAUUUAUUCAUAUCAUUUGUGUUCUACAACUGGACUUGUUAUCAAUAAGAUAUGUACGGUUCCAUGUUACUUUCUACUCUAAGAUACAAUUUAUGUAUUUUUAAGUUAAUGAGAGCCUAAUCUGUGUGGUUUUAUUGUAAAACACCAAAGUACUUUGCUACUUUUCUACAAAAGGUUAAAAGCUUUCAGCCUUUAAUUCAUGUUUUAGGUGUGAUAUUAUGUUGUGUUAGCUAAUGUUCAUGUAAACUUGAACAACAAUUUAUGUAAACUUUGUAAAAUGAUCAGCUUCAGAACUAUAGUACUUGAGAUUUAUAAAGAGCCCUGCCUUACUUGAGAUAAGGCUCUGUCUCAUCUCACUACAUGUGAAAGUGGCUAUGAAAGAAGUAAGCCAGAUUUCAGUACAGUUAAAGUUGUGUCCAAAAGUAGGUUUUUGCCAAGAUUACUAGGAUCUCAAAUAGGGAAUUAUGAUGUAUAACCCUGCCAGAAUUCAAGGUAGCUAUUAUGUAAGCUAAAUAUGUUUUUACCCUAGUUAGUUUUGUUUUGUUGUUUGCUUAUAGAUGGUUUAAGGAUUGCCUGUUAAUGUUUUAAAGAGGUACUGCUUUAAGAACUCACAACCUGGGUCAACUUAAGAUAAGGAGUUAUCACCUACAGGAUAGAGACAUAGACAUUAAAGCCCAGUGCUCUUAAUAGAAGGCUGUUAACUUAUUUGCUGGAUGUUUAAGAUUAAGUUUUAAAAUUAAAAAUUUGGCUCUUGCCCUCUGAGUCAGUCUGAAUCAGGGAAUAGGGGACUUCUCCAAAGGGCUCUGCAACUCUAGGCCACAUAACCUCCUGAGCAGGGAGAUUAAGGAGACCAGUGGAGGGCAGAAAGCCAAUCGGUACAUUUGCUGUGAAGAGGAGGGUCAUCAGAAAGGGGAGACAUCCCUGAUGCUUCCUAGGGAAGCCACAUGGUCAAGCAAGGCCUGGACCCAUCCUAAGGUAAAUGGCACUAGCAGAACUGAGAAGCUGCUAUGAAGUUCCCCGAGGACUCCCAGGGAAACUCAGCUGACUGUUGACAAUAGAUAAGAACAAAAGUCAGUUUGACUUGCUUCAUCUUAAACACUUAGCAAAGACAGUUAAAGCCAAAGCACAGUUGUUCCUGGACAUUUUAAAUGAUAAUAAUAAUUAAAUGUAACUUCCAAAAAUAAGUAAACUGGAGGCUACAAAAGAGAUUCUCAGACAGGAAUGUCUGAUAACUAUUAAAAGGAACUGCCAGAGUAGCUUUUAGUUUAAGGCCCACAGAUAUUCCUAACCUACACAGGUAGGCUUGGUGUUUGCUAGUAUGGUUAUCCAGCCCUAAGCAGCAAAAUUAAAGGUUUCUCUAUUAGACAUAGGUCAUACUAGUAAAAAGGACAUCUGUAAACCUAAAUGUUAGUUGUUGUGUUUACAUCCCUGACAUUUCUGGCAAGGUGACAAAUAUCCUUAAAGAUUUACAUGCUUAGAUAGAACCCAUGUCCUCAGCAACUUUGUCAUGGAAACAAUAUCUUAGUUCCUAGUUCUUGGUACUUCCUGGUGGAAAACAUUGUUAGUCUUUGUCAUCAUACUCAUUGGCAUAUUCCUGUGCUAUGGCAUUUAUUGCUGCAUCAAUAUGGUUCCAGUACUAAUGAAUUCUUGUUUCUCUUAUAGACCAUCCAUCACUCAAAUGGCCCUCCAGACUAUUACUUCUCAAUCAGACUUCUAUCAUGGACCACUUGAUAGACCCGAUUUUUAAAGGGGGACUCCAAACUGCUUGCCCCACAUCGUCCCUUUUCAGCCUGAAGAAGCCGAAAGAUCUUCUUCGCCCCCCUUCCUCACAGCAGUAAGGAGUUCCCAAAUUAGAGGGGGGAAUGAAGCCAGAUUUUAAGUUAGGUAGUCAGUGUAGUUAGAUAAAUCGGGGUCUAAUACCGAGUGAAAUCUAAAAUGGAGGCCAUGCUGAAAAUGAUUCCAGGGAACGCAAAACAACUCAUGAAAUGUAAAACCCUUCAAUAAUCGUGAUGCAUUACUUUUAAGAUUAAAAGUAGUCAGAAAAAGGAGUGGGGAAUGUAAGGGUAAAAGAAAUUGAAGUUAAAGCAUAAAAGUUAAAGGGUAAAAGACCGGGUGUUGUAAAAGUUUCUAAGCUGCAAGGUCUGAGUUAGCUGUUACGACAAUGCUUAGAACCGCCCAGUAAACAUUUCCCCUGAUUGUCUGGUUAUUU
This 2356-nucleotide long non-coding RNA is filed under the name Marmota monax (woodchuck). The record is from RNAcentral. Lineage: Eukaryota; Metazoa; Chordata; Mammalia; Rodentia; Sciuridae.